CUUCUCAAGCAAUCCUUUUCCUUUCUCCUUUGUCGUUUCUCUUUGCUGCGGUCCUGCCCAAAUCCCUAAAUUAAAGCUUCAAUCUCUAGCCUCCAGCACCGCCACCCUAAAUUAAAGCUUCAAUCUCUGUCGCCGUUGCCAUGGCUUCGACGGCCAACAGCACUUCGUUGUCCUCCGAGGACCCGAGCAAGAAGGUCCGAAAACCCUACACCAUUACCAAGUGAAGGGAGAGCUGGACAGAACCCGAGCACAAGUCGUUCCUCGAAGCACUCCAAUUGUUUGACCGUGAUUGGAAAAAGAUUGAAGCAUUUGUUGGAUCGAAGAAUUGGGAUGGUGAAGAUGAUUGGAAAAAUAAUGAUUUUGAUAAUGUGAAUUAUGGGGAUACUGAAUUUGAUGAAAAUGAUGACAAUGAUUGGUUAUAAAUUAAUGUAUUUAUGAAUUAUUACGAUACUUGAAAACGAUGAAUUGUUACUAUU
Long non-coding RNA from Coffea eugenioides, 476 nucleotides. RefSeq lists it as uncharacterized. The record is from RefSeq and is a predicted model, not a curated record. The transcript has 2 exons. Lineage: Eukaryota; Viridiplantae; Streptophyta; Magnoliopsida; Gentianales; Rubiaceae.